RNAcentral lists this ribosomal RNA (396 nucleotides) under Crocothemis nigrifrons. Its description in RNAcentral is "partial 12S ribosomal RNA". The record is from RNAcentral. Lineage: Eukaryota; Metazoa; Arthropoda; Insecta; Odonata; Libellulidae.
AAUAGUAAUGUUCUUGAAACCCAAAGAAUUUGGCGGUAUUUUAUUCUUUUUUAGAGGAACCUGUCCUGUAAUUGAUAGUCCACGAUGGAAAUUACUUGUUCUUGUAUUCAUUUUGUAUACCUCCGUCAUCAGAGUAUCUUUUUAGAGUUAAUAUUCUAAAUAUACAAAAUAUAUUAUGUCAGGUCAAGGUGCAAUUUAUGGGCAAGUAGAGAUGGGUUACAAUAAAAUUAUUUAUACGGAUUAUUAUUAUUAUAGAUAAUAUGAAGGUGGAUUUAAAAGUAAAAUUAUUUACUUAAUAUUUUGAUUUUAGCUCUAAAAUAUGCACACAUCGCCCGUCGCUCUUAUUUUAAAAUAAGAUAAGUCGUAACAUAGUAGGGGUACCGGAAGGUGUCCCUA